UCCGUCGGUUGCAAGCGUUAAUCGGAAUUACUGGGCGUAAAGCGUGCGCAGGCGGUUAUAUAAGACAGAUGUGAAAUCCCCGGGCUCAACCUGGGAACUGCAUUUGUGACUGUAUAGCUAGAGUACGGCAGAGGGGGAUGGAAUUCCGCGUGUAGCAGUGAAAUGCGUAGAUAUGCGGAGGAACACCGAUGGCGAAGGCAAUCCCCUGGGCCUGUACUGACGCGCAUGCAAGAAAGCGGGGGGAGCAAACAGGAGGCGAUAACCCCGUAGUCC
This 273-nucleotide ribosomal RNA is filed under the name uncultured bacterium. Its description in RNAcentral is "partial 16S ribosomal RNA". It matches the Rfam family "Bacterial small subunit ribosomal RNA", at positions 524 to 796 of the family's 1533-position model. The record is from RNAcentral.